UGGGGCAUGGUGCAAUGGUAGCACGCCAGACUUUGGAUCUGUCUAUCUUGGUUCGAAUCCAGGUGCCCCAGCCU
This 74-nucleotide transfer RNA is filed under the name Chloroflexi bacterium HGW-Chloroflexi-5. RNAcentral's name for it is "tRNA-Gln". It matches the Rfam family "tRNA". Rfam says of the family: Transfer RNA (tRNA) molecules are approximately 80 nucleotides in length. Their secondary structure includes four short double-helical elements and three loops (D, anti-codon, and T loops). RNAcentral also lists the same sequence under 1 other name. The record is from RNAcentral. Lineage: Bacteria; Bacillati; Chloroflexota.